AACGUAGGAGACGAGCGUUGUUCGGAAUUACUGGGCGUAAAGGGCGCGUAGGCGGCCCGCUAAGUCGAACGUGAAAUCCCCAGGCUCAACCUGGGAACUGCGUCCGAUACUGGCAGGCUUGAAUCCGGGAGAGGGAUGUGGAAUUCCAGGUGUAGCGGUGAAAUGCGUAGAUAUCUGGAGGAACACCGGUGGCGAAGGCGACGUCCUGGACCGGUAUUGACGCUGAGGCGCGAAAGCCAGGGGAGCAAACGGG
RNAcentral lists this ribosomal RNA (253 nucleotides) under uncultured bacterium. Its description in RNAcentral is "partial 16S ribosomal RNA". It matches the Rfam family "Bacterial small subunit ribosomal RNA", at positions 524 to 776 of the family's 1533-position model. The record is from RNAcentral.